GAGUAUUUCUCAUACUUCCAACCCAUGUGAACUUACCUUUUGUUGCCUCGGCAGAAGUUAUAGGUCUUCUUAUAGCUGCUGCCGGUGGACCAUUAAACUCUUGUUAUUUUAUGUAAUCUGAGCGUCUUAUUUUAAUAAGUCAAAACUUUCAACAACGGAUCUCUUGGUUCUGGCAUCGAUGAAGAACGCAGCGAAAUGCGAUAAGUAAUGUGAAUUGCAGAAUUCAGUGAAUCAUCGAAUCUUUGAACGCACAUUGCGCCCAUUAGUAUUCUAGUGGGCAUGCCUGUUCGAGCGUCAUUUCAACCCUUAAGCCUAGCUUAGUGUUGGGAAUCUACUUCUUUAUAGUUGUAGUUCCUGAAAUACAACGGCGGAUUUGUAGUAUCCUCUGAGCGUAGUAAUUUUUUUCUCGCUUUUGUUAGGUGCUAUAACUCCCAGCCGCUAAACCCCCAAUUUUUUGUGGUUGACCUCGGAUCAGGUAGGAAUACCCGCUGAACUUAAGCAUAUCAAUA
This 509-nucleotide ribosomal RNA is filed under the name Pestalotiopsis sp. Ps-N848. RNAcentral's name for it is "eukaryotic LSU rRNA". The stretch from base 144 to 297 matches the Rfam family "5.8S ribosomal RNA". The record is from RNAcentral. Lineage: Eukaryota; Fungi; Ascomycota; Sordariomycetes; Amphisphaeriales; Sporocadaceae.